RNAcentral lists this ribosomal RNA (492 nucleotides) under uncultured bacterium. RNAcentral's name for it is "partial 16S ribosomal RNA". It matches the Rfam family "Bacterial small subunit ribosomal RNA", at positions 29 to 507 of the family's 1533-position model. The record is from RNAcentral.
AGUGAACGCUGGCGGUAGGCCUAACACAUGCAAGUCGAACGGCAGCACAGUAAGAGCUUGCUCUUACGGGUGGCGAGUGGCGGACGGGUGAGGAAUACAUCGGAAUCUACUUUUUCGUGGGGGAUAAUGUAGGGAAACUUACGCUAAUACCGCAUACGACCUACGGGUGAAAGCAGGGGAUCUUCGGACCUUGCGCGAUUGAAUGAGCCGAUGUCGGAUUAGCUAGUUGGCGGGGUAAAGGCCCACCAAGGCGACGAUCCGUAGCUGGUCUGAGAGGAUGAUCAGCCACACUGGAACUGAGACACGGUCCAGACUCCUACGGGAGGCGGCAGUGGGGAAUAUUGGACAAUGGGCGCAAGCCUGAUCCAGCCAUACCGCGUGGGUGAAGAAGGCCUUCGGGUUGUAAAGCCCUUUUGUUGGGAAAGAAAAGCAGCAGGUUAAUACCCCGCUGUUCUGACAGUACCCAAAGAAUAAGCACCGGCUAACUUCGUG